GAGGCCCUCAGCGUCGUAAAAUAGAGCGGUUGCCAAUACUUCCUGAUUUUAUAACAGAGUUGCAGUCUUCCUGGAAGGCCCCUAGUUCUACGGCCCUCCCUAGGACACAACUGGGCAAUCUGGCAGGGGCAGUAACUUAUGGGCUUGUUACAGCUCCUCAGAUCAGACCCACGUUUGCUAUGUUGACUGGGGCUACGGCCAGGACUGGAAGGGAUGCUACACACCCUAACAAGCUUGGUAGAAUAAUUGACAGUCAGCUGCGGAAAGCCUAUCAGGCCUCGGCCUUGUCGGCAAGACUUGCAUGCACAAACUCUCUCCUCUUGGUUUAUUUAGAGGGUCUGCUGCAGGAUUUGUCCUCCACUUUGACAGAGGGGGAAAACAUCCCAGAAACAUUGCGAGUGGUUGAUAUGCUGAUCCGAGGAACAAGUGCGCACGCCCAAGCCCUGGAGCAAUCCAUAGCCCAUGCAGAAGCAGCUUUGGAGCAGUCUCGUAGAACAAGAGAACUGACUCGAUCAGUGGUUAGAGCACCAGCUACUCGUGGGCAACGCACAUCAGCUGGGAGCAGUAAUUGGGCUCGGGCAGAAUCAGCAAACCAGGCCUUCAUAGGUCAGCGCCGGUCUGCUGCCCAAGGUGCACCCAUAAGACCAAGCCAAGGAGUCCGGCAGUCCUUUCGUAGGACACGACAGCCAGAGUCUUCCAGCACACGUGCAAAAGGAGGGAGGAACCGUUACUGGCGGUUAUCAGCCUCUGGCCCCACAUUUUUCCAGUCAACAUCUCUUCCACUGGCGCCAAUGCACUCAAUGUCCAUGGGCGCUGAGCACCUUGGAGCUCGGAUACAGGCUCCAAUUCAAAUCCAAGCCACCCCAAUUUCAAAGGAUUGUUCCUACUGUUUUGAGAGAAGAGACACAGUGCAGGUCUCUGACAGACGAGGUCUCAGUUCUUUUAGGAAAAGGAGCAAUAACACGCCUGCCCCCGGGUUCGAUAGGGCAGGGGUUUUAUUCUACCUAUUUCCUGAUUCCAAAGAAAGAUGGGGGUCUUCGGCCCAUCCUGAAUCUCAGGAAGUUCAAUCAUCAUUUAAAGCGACUGCCCUUCCGCAUGCUUUGUCUUUCAACCCUUUUAACCUUCAUCAGACAAGGGGAUUGGUUCACAACAGUGGAUCUCCAAGAUGCCUAUUUCCACAUCCCAAUUCACAAAAACCACAGGAAGUACCUCAGGUUCUAUUUUCAGGGCAACGCUUACGAGUACAAUGUUCUCCCCUUCGGUCUGUCAUUGGCUCCCCGCACCUUCACCAAAUGUAUGGAUGCGGCACUCAUUCCUCUACGUCGUCAAGGCAUACGUAUUGCCAAUUACCUGGACGAUUGGGUAAUUUGCUCUCCUACAGAGCAACAGGCCAGGAGCAACACAAAGGUGGUCCUUGGCCACUUGAAGAAAUUGGGGCUGACUCUGAACAGCAAAAAGAGUUGUCUCACUCCCACAAGGGUAGCGACAUACCUAGGCUUGAGUUUGAAUUCAAUUAUAAUGAGAG
Molecule: long non-coding RNA, 1525 nt
Filed under: Sinocyclocheilus grahami
Lineage: Eukaryota; Metazoa; Chordata; Actinopteri; Cypriniformes; Cyprinidae
Description: lncRNA (ENSSGRG00000007464.1)
Source: RNAcentral